This 107-nucleotide small nuclear RNA is filed under the name Sciurus vulgaris (Eurasian red squirrel). The record is from RNAcentral. Lineage: Eukaryota; Metazoa; Chordata; Mammalia; Rodentia; Sciuridae.
GUGCUCGCUUCAACCGCACAUAUACUAAUACUGGAAAAACACAAGGAAGAUGAGCAAGGCCCCUGCGCAAGGAUGACACACAAAUUUGUGAAGCAGUCCAUGUUUUU